UGUCAGGUUAAUUCCGGUAACGAACGAGACUUAAACCUAUUAAUUAGUUGCAUUUGAAAUGGAAAUGCAGAUAAUCCUAUCAUUAUUAGAAAUAAUAAUACUACUUAAAGGGACACGUAUCAAUCUCUUUUUUAUACAGUAGAUAAUAAUUUGUGUUAUUUUUGAAUAAUAAAAAUUAUAUAGUGUAUCAAAAAGAAAAGAUAAAGGAAGCGUUAAGCAAUAACAGGUCUGUGAUGCCCUUAGACAUCUUGGGCUGCACGCGCGCUACAAUGAAAAUACUAAAGAGUAGUACCUUACUAGUGGGAUUUUUAUUGCAUUAUAUUGUAUAAUGGAGUAAAAAGAAACAGUAGUAGUACAAAUUUGAAAAAAGGAGUAAAACUCAAAAAAUUAUGCAUGACAGGGAUUAAUGAUUGGAAUUAUUUGUUAUGAACGAGGAAUUCCUUGUAAAAUUGUGUCAUUAACA
This 463-nucleotide ribosomal RNA is filed under the name Entamoeba gingivalis. RNAcentral describes it as "partial small subunit ribosomal RNA". It matches the Rfam family "Eukaryotic small subunit ribosomal RNA", at positions 1312 to 1636 of the family's 1831-position model. The record is from RNAcentral. Lineage: Eukaryota; Evosea; Mastigamoebida; Endamoebidae.